This 337-nucleotide long non-coding RNA is filed under the name Rhinopithecus bieti (black snub-nosed monkey). Its description in RNAcentral is "lncRNA (ENSRBIG00000045544.1)". Lineage: Eukaryota; Metazoa; Chordata; Mammalia; Primates; Cercopithecidae. The record is from RNAcentral.
UAUUUACAGAGCUUGUGUGCUGAACAAUAGUCUAGUCCCUGCAGCCAGAGAGGAGCACACUUGGUAGAAAAACAGCUUUGCCGCUGCCCUGGAGGACCUUGUGGAUUAAUGAGGACACAGAAAGGCUUUGAGAGAAAUCUGAAGAGUCAUCCCUGCGAAAGUGAAGGCUGACAACAGUACCCCAUUUCAGCGUGCCUACUUGGUUUACGGACAGCUGCCUGCGUGAUCAAUACUGCAGGGCUCAAGGAAAAGGGGCUGUAAGAAGAGAGAUGCAUUUUUAUCUCAGGCCAAGGGGAAGCGGAUCCACUUCUCAGGCACUGUGGUAAGGACUUGGGGU